RNAcentral lists this ribosomal RNA (351 nucleotides) under uncultured Desulfobulbus sp. Its description in RNAcentral is "bacterial SSU rRNA". It matches the Rfam family "Bacterial small subunit ribosomal RNA", at positions 1030 to 1382 of the family's 1533-position model. Lineage: Bacteria; Pseudomonadati; Thermodesulfobacteriota; Desulfobulbia; Desulfobulbales; Desulfobulbaceae. The record is from RNAcentral.
GGAGACAGGUGCUGCAUGGCUGUCGUCAGCUCGUGUCGUGAGAUGUUGGUUAAGUCCCGCAACGAGCGCAACCCUUGCCUUUAGUUGCCAGCAGUUCGGCUGGGCACUCUAAAGGGACUGCCGGUGUUAAACCGGAGGAAGGUGGGGAUGACGUCAAGUCCUCAUGGCCUUUAUGACCAGGGCUACACACGUACUACAAUGGCCGAUACAAAGGGCAGCGACACUGCGAGGUGAAGCCAAUCCCGUAAAAUCGGUCUCAGUCCGGAUUGGAGUCUGCAACUCGACUCCAUGAAGUUGGAAUCGCUAGUAAUCGUGGAUCAGCAUGCCACGGUGAAUACGUUCCCGGGCCUU